RNAcentral lists this ribosomal RNA (505 nucleotides) under uncultured bacterium. RNAcentral describes it as "bacterial SSU rRNA". It matches the Rfam family "Bacterial small subunit ribosomal RNA", at positions 277 to 663 of the family's 1533-position model. The record is from RNAcentral.
CGAUCCAUAGCUGGUCUGAGAGGAUGACCAGCCACAUUGGGACUGAGACACGGCCCAAACUCCUACGGGAGGCAGCAGUGGGGAAUAUUGGACAAUGGGCGCAAGCCUGAUCCAGCCAUGCCGCGUGAGUGAUGAAGGUCUUAGGGUUGUAAAGCUCUUUUGUCCGGGACGAUAAUGACGGUACCGGAAGAAUAAGCCCCGGCUAACUUCGUGCCAGCAGCCGCGGUAAUACAAGGGGGCUAGCGUUGCUCGGAAUCACUGGGCGUAAAGGGCGCGUAGGCGGCCAUUCAAGUCGGAGUACGUGGAGGCAAGGCAACACAGGGGAUUAGGANGCNCAGCNCGAUCAGAGCUGUUGNGAGAUGAUCAGCCACACUGGGACUGAGCACGGCCCAGACUCCGCGGGAGCAGCAGUGGGGUAAUAUUGGACAAUGGGCNCAAGCCUGACUCCAGCCAUGCCGNGUGAGUGAUGAAGGCCUUAGGGGUNAAAGUCUCGUUUUGACGGACG